AAAUUGAAGAGUUUGAUCAUGGCUCAGAUUGAACGCUGGCGGCAGGCCUAACACAUGCAAGUCGAACGGUAACAGGAAUCAGCUUGCUGAUUUGCUGACGAGUGGCGGACGGGUGAGUAAUGUCUGGGAAACUGCCUGAUGGAGGGGGAUAACUACUGGAAACGGUAGCUAAUACCGCAUAACGUCGCAAGACCAAAGAGGGGGACCUUCGGGCCUCUUGCCAUC
RNAcentral lists this ribosomal RNA (225 nucleotides) under Escherichia coli. RNAcentral's name for it is "partial 16S ribosomal RNA". It matches the Rfam family "Bacterial small subunit ribosomal RNA", at positions 1 to 222 of the family's 1533-position model. Lineage: Bacteria; Pseudomonadati; Pseudomonadota; Gammaproteobacteria; Enterobacterales; Enterobacteriaceae. The record is from RNAcentral.